CCUACGGGAGGCUGCAGUGGGGAAUAUUGGACAAUGGGCGAAAGCCUGAUCCAGCCAUGCCGCGUGUGUGAAGAAGGCCUUCGGGUUGUAAAGCACUUUCAGUGGGGAAGAAAGCCUUGGGGCUAAUACCCUCGAGGAAGGACAUCACCCACAGAAGAAGCACCGGCUAACUCCGUGCCAGCAGCCGCGGUAAUACGGAGGGUGCGAGCGUUAAUCGGAAUUACUGGGCGUAAAGCGCGCGUAGGCGGUCUGAUAAGCCGGUUGUGAAAGCCCCGGGCUCAACCUGGGAACGGCAUCCGGAACUGUCAGGCUAGAGUGCAGGAGAGGAAGGUAGAAUUUCCGGUGUAGCGGUGAAAUGCGUAGAGAUCGGGAGGAAUACCAGUGGCGAAGGCGGCCUUCUGGACUGACACUGACGCUGAGGUGCGAAAGCGUGGGUAGCAAACAGGAUUAGAUACCCUAGUAGUC
Molecule: ribosomal RNA, 465 nt
Filed under: Vreelandella stevensii
Lineage: Bacteria; Pseudomonadati; Pseudomonadota; Gammaproteobacteria; Oceanospirillales; Halomonadaceae
Description: partial 16S ribosomal RNA
Rfam family: Bacterial small subunit ribosomal RNA
Source: RNAcentral